RNAcentral lists this ribosomal RNA (590 nucleotides) under uncultured bacterium. RNAcentral's name for it is "bacterial SSU rRNA". It matches the Rfam family "Bacterial small subunit ribosomal RNA", at positions 125 to 731 of the family's 1533-position model. The record is from RNAcentral.
CCUGCCUUUCAGAGGGGGACAACAGUUGGAAACGACUGCUAAUACCGCAUGACACAUUGGGGUCGCAUGGCUCUGAUGUCAAAGAUUUAUCGCUGAAAGAUGGCCUCGCGUCUGAUUAGCUAGUUGGUGAGGUAACGGCCCACCAAGGCGACGAUCAGUAGCCGGACUGAGAGGUUGACCGGCCACAUUGGGACUGAGAUACGGCCCAGACUCCUACGGGAGGCAGCAGUGGGGAAUAUUGGGCAAUGGGCGCAAGCCUGACCCAGCAACGCCGCGUGAAGGAAGAAGGCUUUCGGGUUGUAAACUUCUUUUGUCAGGGACGAGUAGAAGACGGUACCUGACGAAUAAGCCACGGCUAACUACGUGCCAGCAGCCGCGGUAAUACGUAGGUGGCAAGCGUUGUCCGGAUUUACUGGGUGUAAAGGGCGUGUAGCCGGGAAGGCAAGUCAGAUGUGAAAUCCACGGGCUCAACUCGUGAACUGCAUUUGAAACUGUUUUUCUUGAGUAUCGGAGAGGCAAUCGGAAUUCCUAGUGUAGCGGUGAAAUGCGUAGAUAUUAGGAGGAACACCAGUGGCGAAGGCGGAUUGCUG